GAUGAACGCUGGCGGCGUGCCUAAUACAUGCAAGUCGAGCGAACAGAUGAGGAGCUUGCUCCUCUGACGUUAGCGGCGGACGGGUGAGUAACACGUGGAUAACCUACCUAUAAUACGGGGAUAACUUCGGGAAACCGGAGCUAAUACCGGAUAAUAUAUUGAACCGCAUGGUUCAAUAGUGAAAGACGGUUUUGCUGUCACUUAUAGAUGGAUCCGCGCCGCAUUAGCUAGUUGGUAAGGUAACGGCUUACCAAGGCGACGAUGCGUAGCCGACCGGAGAGGGUGAUCGGCCACGCUGGAACUGAGACACGGUCCAGACUCCUACGGGAGGCACCAGUAGGGAAUCUUCCGCAAUGGGCGAAAGCUUGACGGAGCAAAGCCGCGUGAGUGAUGAAGGUCUUCGGCUCGUACAACUCUGUUAUUAGGGAAGAACAAAUGUGUAAGUAACUAUGCACGUCUUGACGGUACCUAAUCAGAAAGCCCCGGCUAACUACGUG
RNAcentral lists this ribosomal RNA (497 nucleotides) under uncultured bacterium. RNAcentral describes it as "partial 16S ribosomal RNA". It matches the Rfam family "Bacterial small subunit ribosomal RNA", at positions 28 to 507 of the family's 1533-position model. The record is from RNAcentral.